CCUACGGGGGGCAGCAGUGAGGAAUAUUGGUCAAUGGACGAGAGUCUGAACCAGCCAAGUAGCGUGAAGGAUGACUGCCCUAUGGGUUGUAAACUUCUUUUAUAUGGGAAUAAAAUGUUCCACGUGUGGGUUUUUGUAUGUACCUUAUUAAUAAGGAUCGGCUAACUCCGUGCCAGCAGCCGCGGUAAUACGGAGGAUCCGAGCGUUAUCCGGAUUUAUUGGGGUUAAAGGGAGCGUAGGUGGAUUGUUAAGUCAGUUGUGAAAGUUUGCGGCUCAACCGUAAAAUUGCAGUUGAUACUGGCAGUCUUGAGUACAGUAGAGGUAGGCGGAAUUCGUGGUGUAGCGGUGAAAUGCUUAGAUAUCACGAAGAACUCCGAUUGCGAAGGCAGCUCACUGGACUGCAACUGACACUGAGGCUCGAAAGUGUGGGUAUCAAACAGGAUUAGAUACCCUGGUAGUC
This 460-nucleotide ribosomal RNA is filed under the name uncultured bacterium. RNAcentral describes it as "partial 16S ribosomal RNA". It matches the Rfam family "Bacterial small subunit ribosomal RNA", at positions 338 to 795 of the family's 1533-position model. The record is from RNAcentral.